Molecule: long non-coding RNA, 393 nt
Organism: Zingiber officinale
Lineage: Eukaryota; Viridiplantae; Streptophyta; Magnoliopsida; Zingiberales; Zingiberaceae
Exons: 3
Source: RefSeq, a predicted model, not a curated record
GAAUUUUGUGCUAUGGUCCGUCAGAUUUUUAUAUACACAAAAGAGGAGGUCCAGAAGAUGGAUUCAAGUACCUUGAACCCAAAAAAUGAAGAUUGUCCUGAUAUGAAAGAGAAUGUCAAGGAAACAAAAGGCAGUCAAUCUGCAUCAUCAUCUAAUUCAAAAAACUCAUAGGCUUAUCCUGCAAUGAUCUUGAAGCACAAACAAAGUGAUUUUUUGUGCUUUAUCUAAGUGAUUGUUUGAACAGUUUUAUAGCAUGCAUCUUGACAAUUAAUAUAAUUUUGAAGAUCACUAGCAAGGAAGAAUGUUCAAAGGAAAGUAAAGGCUAAGGAGAAGAUCACGUAAUUAACUACACGGGUCUAGUGAAAAUACUGAAGAAGUAUGACAAGAGAACAU